UGCGUAGGGGGCAAGCGUUAUCCGGAUUUAUUGGGUUUAAAGGGUGCGUAGGCGGCAUUAUAAGUUAGUGGUAAAAUAUUGGGGCUUCACCUCACUACGCCAUUAAUACUGUAGAGCUAGAGAACAGACGAGGUAGGCGGAAUAAGUUAAGUAGCGGUGAAAUGCAUAGAUAUCGCGCAGAACUCCGAUUGCGAAGGCAGCAUGCCGGCUCCACACUGACGCUGAGGCACGAAAGCGUGGGUAUCGAACAGG
RNAcentral lists this ribosomal RNA (252 nucleotides) under uncultured Odoribacter sp. Its description in RNAcentral is "partial 16S ribosomal RNA". It matches the Rfam family "Bacterial small subunit ribosomal RNA", at positions 524 to 776 of the family's 1533-position model. Lineage: Bacteria; Pseudomonadati; Bacteroidota; Bacteroidia; Bacteroidales; Odoribacteraceae. The record is from RNAcentral.